UACGUAGGGUGCGAGCGUUGUCCGGAAUUAUUGGGCGUAAAGAGCUCGUAGGCGGUGUGUCGCGUCGGCCGUGAAAACUUGCAGCUUAACUGUGGGCGUGCGGUCGAUACGGGCAUCACUGGAGUUCGGCAGGGGAGACUGGAAUUCCUGGUGUAGCGGUGAAAUGCGCAGAUAUCAGGAGGAACACCGGUGGCGAAGGCGGGUCUCUGGGCCGAUACUGACGCUGAGGAGCGAAAGCGUGGGGAGCGAACAGG
Molecule: ribosomal RNA, 254 nt
Filed under: uncultured bacterium
Lineage: Bacteria
Description: partial 16S ribosomal RNA
Rfam family: Bacterial small subunit ribosomal RNA
Source: RNAcentral